Molecule: ribosomal RNA, 616 nt
Filed under: Candida tropicalis
Lineage: Eukaryota; Fungi; Ascomycota; Pichiomycetes; Serinales; Debaryomycetaceae
Description: eukaryotic LSU rRNA
Rfam family: Eukaryotic large subunit ribosomal RNA
Source: RNAcentral
UGCAUAUCAAAUAAGCGGAGGAAAAGAAACCAACAGGGAUUGCCUUAGUAGCGGCGAGUGAAGCGGCAAAAGCUCAAAUUUGAAAUCUGGCUCUUUCAGAGUCCGAGUUGUAAUUUGAAGAAGGUAUCUUUGGGUCUGGCUCUUGUCUAUGUUUCUUGGAACAGAACGUCACAGAGGGUGAGAAUCCCGUGCGAUGAGAUGAUCCAGGCCUAUGUAAAGUUCCUUCGAAGAGUCGAGUUGUUUGGGAAUGCAGCUCUAAGUGGGUGGUAAAUUCCAUCUAAAGCUAAAUAUUGGCGAGAGACCGAUAGCGAACAAGUACAGUGAUGGAAAGAUGAAAAGAACUUUGAAAAGAGAGUGAAAAAGUACGUGAAAUUGUUGAAAGGGAAGGGCUUGAGAUCAGACUUGGUAUUUUGUAUGUUACUUCUUCGGGGGUGGCCUCUACAGUUUAUCGGGCCAGCAUCAGUUUGGGCGGUAGGAGAAUUGCGUUGGAAUGUGGCACGGCUUCGGUUGUGUGUUAUAGCCUUCGUCGAUACUGCCAGCCUAGACUGAGGACUGCGGUUUAUACCUAGGAUGUUGGCAUAAUGAUCUUAAGUCGCCCGUCUUGAAACACGGACCA